GUGCAAAAAUAUGGGCUACCCUCGGUAGCAUUGGGUAUGUGAGUGUGCCAAGUAUGAAACAGUUGAAGCUUAAGAGAGCAACUGCAUCAGAAGCAGGUUUGUUCUUUAUGGUAGAGAAAAACUGAACCACACUUUUCAGUGACAUGCCAACAACAGCAAAAAGAGCUACCACAAGGGGCAUACAGGGGUCUUCAGCCUCCCAGAUAAUGAUUCCAACCAAAAGGGAUAACACUGCACUGAAAACAGACUGUGAAAGUGCAACAUCCAUUCUCUGACCCAGACCCUCAU
RNAcentral lists this unclassified non-coding RNA (288 nucleotides) under Hevea brasiliensis (rubber tree). Lineage: Eukaryota; Viridiplantae; Streptophyta; Magnoliopsida; Malpighiales; Euphorbiaceae. The record is from RNAcentral.